Molecule: non-coding RNA, 414 nt
Filed under: Tetranychus urticae (two-spotted spider mite)
Lineage: Eukaryota; Metazoa; Arthropoda; Arachnida; Trombidiformes; Tetranychidae
Description: Eukaryotic small subunit ribosomal RNA
Rfam family: Eukaryotic small subunit ribosomal RNA
Source: Rfam by way of RNAcentral
GUCUAAGUACAUACUGUUUAUAAAGUGAAACCGCGAAUGGCUCAUUAAAUCAGUUACGGUUCCUCGGAUAUUCUUUUUUACAUGGAUAACUGUGGUAAUUCUAGAGCUCAUACAUGAACAAGUGUUCCAACCUCAGCUUGCUGACGGAAGGAUCGCAUUUAUUAGUACAAGACCAAUGAUUCUUAUUCACCUAGAACCCUGGGCAGUGAUUUCGGUCGCUGUCUAAGGACUAGCAGUGGGGAUCUUAGCAACUUCGGUUGCAUUUCUUGUGAUGACUCUGAAUAACUGAGCAAAUCGUAUGGCCUCUGAGCCGACGAUGUAUCCCUCAAGCAACUGCCUUAUCAACUGUCGAUGGUAGGUUAUGCGCCUACCAUGGUUGUAACGGGUAACGGGGAAUUAAGGUUCGAUUCCGAU